RNAcentral lists this long non-coding RNA (262 nucleotides) under Monodelphis domestica (gray short-tailed opossum). Its description in RNAcentral is "lncRNA (ENSMODG00000031196.2)". The record is from RNAcentral. Lineage: Eukaryota; Metazoa; Chordata; Mammalia; Didelphimorphia; Didelphidae.
GUCAGAUGGUUACACUCAGCAUCUCAGGGAAAGGGAAGUAUGGGAGGGUGAGGGUAGGAGCAGCCUGAAAGAGAGCAUGACUCUUUGGCCUUGUUAUCCUGCAGCUUCCUCAAUAUCUGGUGCCAUCUCAUCUUGGAAGAUGCCUCUGUGGCUCCUUUCUUACUCUGACCUUGGACUCUCAAUUCAUCAACAUUUCCAAUCCCCAGAACCUCAUGUCUAUUCUACCUCAACUGCAUAUAAGAUGCUGAAUAAUGCCAGGUGA